UACGUAGGGUGCGAGCGUUAAUCGGAAUUACUGGGCGUAAAGCGUGCGCAGGCGGUUUUGUAAGUCUGACGUGAAAUCCCCGGGCUUAACCUGGGAAUUGCGUUGGAGACUGCAAGGCUGGAGUCUGGCAGAGGGGGGUAGAAUUCCACGUGUAGCAGUGAAAUGCGUAGAGAUGUGGAGGAACACCGAUGGCGAAGGCAGCCCCCUGGGGUAACACUGACGCUCAUGCACGAAAGCGUGGGGAGCAAACAGG
This 253-nucleotide ribosomal RNA is filed under the name uncultured bacterium. Its description in RNAcentral is "partial 16S ribosomal RNA". It matches the Rfam family "Bacterial small subunit ribosomal RNA", at positions 524 to 776 of the family's 1533-position model. The record is from RNAcentral.